RNAcentral lists this ribosomal RNA (1285 nucleotides) under metagenome. Its description in RNAcentral is "bacterial SSU rRNA". It matches the Rfam family "Bacterial small subunit ribosomal RNA", at positions 242 to 1520 of the family's 1533-position model. The record is from RNAcentral.
UAGCUAGUUGGUGAGGUAAAGGCUUACCAAGGCGACGAUCUGUAGCGGGUCUGAGAGGAUGAUCCGCCACACUGGAACUGAGACACGGUCCAGACUCCUACGGGAGGCAGCAGUGGGGAAUUUUGGACAAUGGGGGCAACCCUGAUCCAGCCAUGCCGCGUGAGUGAAGAAGGCCUUCGGGUUGUAAAGCUCUUUCGGCCGGGAAGAAAUCGCAUGGGCCAAUACCCUGUGUGGAUGACGGUACCGGAAUAAGAAGCACCGGCUAACUACGUGCCAGCAGCCGCGGUAAUACGUAGGGUGCGAGCGAUAAUCGGAAUUACUGGGCGUAAAGCGUGCGCAGGCGGUUUUGUAAGACAGGCGUGAAAUCCCCGGGCUUAACCUGGGAACUGCGUUUGUGACUGCAAGGCUAGAGUACGGCAGAGGGGGGUGGAAUUCCACGUGUAGCAGUGAAAUGCGUAGAGAUGUGGAGGAACACCAAUGGCGAAGGCAGCCCCCUGGGUCGAUACUGACGCUCAUGCACGAAAGCGUGGGUAGCAAACAGGAUUAGAUACCCUGGUAGUCCACGCCCUAAACUAUGUCAACUAGGUGUUGGGUGGGUAAAACCAUUUAGUACCGUAGCUAACGCGUGAAGUUGACCGCCUGGGGAGUACGGCCGCAAGGUUAAAACUCAAAGGAAUUGACGGGGACCCGCACAAGCGGUGGAUGAUGUGGAUUAAUUCGAUGCAACGCGAAAAACCUUACCUACCCUUGACAUGCCAGGAACUUGCCAGAGAUGGCUUGGUGCCCGAAAGGGAGCCUGGACACAGGUGCUGCAUGGCUGUCGUCAGCUCGUGUCGUGAGAUGUUGGGUUAAGUCCCGCAACGAGCGCAACCCUUGUCGUUAAUUGCCAUCAUUCAGUUGGGCACUUUAACGAGACUGCCGGUGACAAACCGGAGGAAGGUGGGGAUGACGUCAAGUCCUCAUGGCCCUUAUGGGUAGGGCUUCACACGUCAUACAAUGGUCGGUACAAAGGGUUGCCAAGCCGCGAGGCGGAGCCAAUCCCAGAAAGCCGAUCGUAGUCCGGAUUGCAGGCUGCAACUCGCCUGCAUGAAGUCGGAAUCGCUAGUAAUCGUGGAUCAGCAUGUCACGGUGAAUACGUUCCCGGGUCUUGUACACACCGCCCGUCACACCAUGGGAGCGGGUUCCGCCAGAAGUAGGUAGCCUAACCGCAAGGGGGGCGCUUACCACGGCGGGGUUCGUGACUGGGGUGAGGUCGUAACAAGGUAGCCGUAGGAACCUGCGGCUG